AGUGAACGCUGGCGGUAGGCUUAACACAUGCAAGUCGAACGGCAGCACAGUAAGAGCUUGCUCUUACGGGUGGCGAGUGGCGGACGGGUGAGGAAUAAAUCGGAAUCUACUUUUUCGGGGGGGAUGACGUAGGGAAACUUACGCUAAUAACGCAUACGACCUACGGGUGAAAGCAGGGGAUCUUCGGACCUUGCGCGAUUGAAUGAGCCGAUGUCGGAUUAGCUAGUUGGCGGGGUAAAGGCCCACCAAGGGGACGAUCCGUAGCUGGUCUGGGAGGAUGGUCGCCCACACUGGAACGGGAACACGGUCCAGACCCCUACGGGAGGCACCAGAGGGGAAUAUUGGACAAUGGUGGCAAGCCUGAUCCAGCCAUCCCGCGUGGUUGAAAAAGGCCUUGGGUUGUAAAGGCCCUUUUUUAGGGAAAAAAAAGCAUCAGAUUGGUACGCCGCUGUUCUGACGGUACCCAAAGAAAAAGCACCGGCUAACUACGUG
RNAcentral lists this ribosomal RNA (492 nucleotides) under uncultured bacterium. RNAcentral's name for it is "partial 16S ribosomal RNA". It matches the Rfam family "Bacterial small subunit ribosomal RNA", at positions 29 to 507 of the family's 1533-position model. The record is from RNAcentral.